This 433-nucleotide ribosomal RNA is filed under the name uncultured bacterium. RNAcentral's name for it is "partial 16S ribosomal RNA". It matches the Rfam family "Bacterial small subunit ribosomal RNA", at positions 29 to 507 of the family's 1533-position model. The record is from RNAcentral.
AGCGAACGCUGGCGGCAGGCUUAACACAUGCAAGUCGAGCGGGCACUUCGGUGUCAGCGGCAGACGGGUGAGUAACACGUGGGAACGUACCCUUUGGUUCGGAAUAACGCUGGGAAACUAGCGCUAAUACCGGAUACGCCCUUUUGGGGAAAGGCUUGCUGCCGAAGGAUCGGCCCGCGUCUGAUUAGCUAGUUGGUGGGGUAAUGGCCUACCAAGGCGACGAUCAGUAGCUGGUCUGAGAGGAUGAUCAGCCACACUGGGACUGAGACACGGCCCAGACUCCUACGGGAGGCAGCAGUGGGGAAUAUUGGACAAUGGGCGCAAGCCUGAUCCAGCCAUGCCGCGUGAGUGAUGAAGGCCUUAGGGUUGUAAAGCUCUUUUGUCCGGGACGAUAAUGACGGUACCGGAAGGAUAAGCCCCGGCUAACUUCGUG